RNAcentral lists this ribosomal RNA (433 nucleotides) under uncultured bacterium. RNAcentral describes it as "partial 16S ribosomal RNA". It matches the Rfam family "Bacterial small subunit ribosomal RNA", at positions 29 to 507 of the family's 1533-position model. The record is from RNAcentral.
AACGAACGCUGGCGGCAUGCCUAACACAUGCAAGUCGAACGAGACCUCCGGGUCUUGUGGCGCACGGGUGCGUAACGCGUGGGAACCUGCACUUAGGUUCGGCAUACCUCCCCGAAAGGGGUGCUAAUACCGGAUAAUGUCUUCGGCCCAAAGAUUUAUUGCCUUUGGAUGGGCCCGCGUUGGAUUCGCUAGUUGGUAGGGUAAUAGCCUACCACGGCGACGAUGCAUAGCUGGUCUGAGAGAAUGGUCAGCCACACUGGGACUGAGACACGGCCCAGACUCCUACGGGAGGGAGGAGAGGCGAAUAGUGGACAAUGGGGGAAGGCAUGAUGCAGCAAUGCUGGGUAAGUGAUGAAGGCCGUAGGGAUGUAAAGCGCUUGUACCCGGGAUGAUAAUGACGGUACCGGGAGAAUAAGCUCCGGCUAACUACGUG